Non-coding RNA from Pantherophis guttatus, 638 nucleotides. Lineage: Eukaryota; Metazoa; Chordata; Lepidosauria; Squamata; Colubridae. The record is from RefSeq and is a predicted model, not a curated record.
AGGAGGAGAACCGGUGCGAGCAGGAGACCAGGCCUCCAGAUUCUCAGAAAUGCAACCUACAAAAAUGUGUGGAAAAUACUGGCUCAUCCUGCAGUAAGGACAGACUAUCCGUGAACUUCUGCGAGAAGGUGCGAGAUAUUGGCAAAUGUUCUGCGCCCUCAGUGAGGAUUCAGUGCUGUCAAACGUGCAAAAGAUCCUUGGCUGUCAACGCAAUGGGCCGCAAUGAGAAUUAACCAAAUCUGAAUCAUUAUCCAAAUAAAAACUGAACUUGCUAAGAUGGACUUUGGAAAUAAAGAAAAUUCGUCUACAAUUUCCAGCAUGCUCUAUGGACCUAUAAUUUAAACCUUCCCAGAGGCAAGACGGCCUCUUCAAACAUUGGACAUCAUUAUUUUUGUGUGUUCUAUAUAUUAUCCUUAUUUUUUUCUGUACCUGUUGGCAGUUCCUUUAAUUUCAUUUUCCUUCUCUGGAUCACUCCCGGCUCAAACUUUCUGGCCCACUUUAAAUAGGUUUUCUUGCUUUAAUGAAUCAGUUUUUAUGCUGAUUUGGCAAGAAAGCUCUACUGGAAAUAGAAAAAAGAUUUUGAUCUAUAUAUAUACCCAAGUAUGGAUCUUAUUCUGUAUUAAAACAGUCAUCUAAGA